UGGGACUUCUCUGCUGAAACUCACUU
This 26-nucleotide non-coding RNA is filed under the name Rattus norvegicus (Norway rat). Lineage: Eukaryota; Metazoa; Chordata; Mammalia; Rodentia; Muridae. The record is from RNAcentral.